GUGUACCCCAAAUUAUCUCAAACUUACUAUGUACUUCUGGAGUGCUUAGCGCAAGAUCGCAUGAAUUUCUUGUCAACACUAGAACCUAAUGUCUUUCUCUAUGUGCUGUCGUCCAUAUCUGAAGGACUUUCAGCUAUUGAUACGAUGGUGUGCGCGGGCUGCUGUGCAACUCUCGACCACAUAGUCACAUACCUCUUCAAAACAGUACAUCAGAAGAACACAAUGGUGUGCAGUGGUUGUUGUGCAACAUUGGAUCAUAUAGUCUCUUACCUGUACAAAGUACUGCAUAAUAAAAGUAAGUAAAUUGGUUUGUAAUUAUGCCCAAGACCUGCAUGUGUGAUGUUGUCCUUUUCCAGAUACGAUGGUUUGCACGAGCUGCUGCGCAACUCUCGACCACAUAGUCACAUACCUCUUCAAA
Long non-coding RNA from Macrobrachium nipponense, 418 nucleotides. RefSeq lists it as uncharacterized. NCBI's taxonomy places the organism in Eukaryota, Metazoa, Arthropoda, Malacostraca, Decapoda, Palaemonidae. The record is from RefSeq and is a predicted model, not a curated record. The transcript is spliced from 3 exons.